Chrysemys picta bellii (western painted turtle) is the source of this 99-nucleotide microRNA precursor. The record is from Ensembl. NCBI's taxonomy places the organism in Eukaryota, Metazoa, Chordata, Testudines, Emydidae.
CAGUCUGGUUGUAGGGAUACAGUGAUCAGGUUACGAGGGAUUUCUCAAGUAACAACCUCGUAGCUCGGUCACGAUAUCCCUAUGACUUAGAUAACAACA